GGCGUGGCUCAAUGGUAGAGCAGGUGCACCAUUUACAGAGGCUACAGCUCUCAAUGCAACUGUCCAGGGUUUGAUUCCCGGACCUGGGCCA
Ataeniobius toweri is the source of this 91-nucleotide non-coding RNA. The record is from the annotation of a GenBank genome assembly. Lineage: Eukaryota; Metazoa; Chordata; Actinopteri; Cyprinodontiformes; Goodeidae.